Molecule: long non-coding RNA, 4070 nt
Filed under: Homo sapiens (human)
Lineage: Eukaryota; Metazoa; Chordata; Mammalia; Primates; Hominidae
Description: non-protein coding lnc-CXCR5-1:13
Source: RNAcentral
GAGCCUGUAGGGCGCGCCUGGCGGCGGCAUGGCGUCUCCAGCCCAGGUUUUAAAAUACCUUCUAAUGUAAGGAAAUAGCCCUGCACCUUGUGCCCAUCCUAGAGAGAAAAUGGUUUCUUAAUAAAAAAUGUAUGAGGCCUUUUUUGCCCCAAUAUCUUCCCAAGCAGAGGAAUGUGAAGGGGGGUUGGGCCAAGAAGUGAGUGGUAGGAAGAGAGGCCUACGGAUUUAAAACAGGCCACUGCUUGGAGGGGUGUCUUUCCUAAACCACUGAAGAAAUUGAACCAGGCAAAGGAAGGGGGUUCACACCCACAAAUAAACUAUAACCUACAAAAGGAGCCCGGGUUCACAUCCACAAAUAAAUUGUAACCUACACAAGGAGUCUGGUUGAGGUCACAAAACAAAAGCCAGGAGGCAACCAAAAGUAGAAUAUGAAAUAGGUGCUGCCUUCUCACCUAGGAAUCCUUCCAGGGCUAAAACCUUCAAAUAUUCUGCUUUUAAGGUAGUCAGAUACCCUCACAACUCAUUUACAUCAGCCCUUCUCUGUUUUCAAGUGAGAAGCAUAGAUGGUUUAGAAUUAAGCUAUGAACUCUUGGAUCUUUUCUUCCAAGUUUAGUGUUAGUGGUAGAUAGGUCUAGUCCAACUAUCUCAAUACAUUGUUUUCUCCCUAGUUAAAACAGAUUUGCAAGAAUCAUUUGUAUGACACUUUAGGAAUACAGAUAAAUUGCUAGUGCAAAUAAUAUCCUUAUAUUUAUAAAAUAUAUGUGUACUUUUAAAAAAGUUAUAUGAAUCCAAUCCUCUGGCCUUUUAGUUAGUAUUGAGUGUGAUAGUUGUGGGAGAUCUGUAGUAAAUACGGUUUCUGAAGGGUGUGCUAUCAUCCCUAAUGAACUCACCUAUUAAUUGUGGUAAAGAGUUUUUCACUUGGGCUGGGCACGGUGGCUCACGCCUGUAAUCCCAGCACUUUGGGAGGCCGAGGCAGGUGGGUCGACUGAGGUCAGGAGUUCCAGACCAGCCUAGCCAACAUGGUGAAACCCCGUCUGUACUAAAAAAAAAAAAAAGAAAAAAAAUAGCUGGGCAUGGUGGCAGGUGCCUGUAAUCCCAGCUACUUGGGAGGCUGAGGCAGGAGAAUCCCUUGAACCUGGGGAGGCGGAGGUUGCAGUGAGCCAAGAUCGUGCCAUUGCACUCCAGCCUGGGCAACAAGAGCAAAACUCCGUCUCAAAAAAAAAAAAAAAAAGAAAAAGAAAAAGAAAUGAAAAAAAAAGUUUCCCAACAUGUAUUAGCCGUUUUCAUGUUGUCUGUAUUCACCUUUGCGUCAUCACCCCUCUUCAAUUUCCUCCUGGAAUUCAAUCACAGUAAUGGGUUAUCUCAGCAUAUAUUAUUCGCCAGUCUCACAUCCUGACCUCAUUUAUUUACCUAAAAAUAACCAGAACGAAAAAAAAAUCACAGAUUAAUUUACACUUGAUUUCACUUUAACUUCAAUUUAAAAUACUUAGAAUCCAGAAUUCCUAGUAAGUUGAACCUGGAAUACGCAGACCUGUGAUAAUAUCUUAAACACUCAAAUGUUUUCAACUUGCUGAAAUGGAGUUCACACUUUUAACAUUCUGGGCUUUUUUUUUAAAAGGGACUAUAAUACUUUAACUCAAAUUACAAUCAAAUGUGUUCAUUACCUAUAAGAAAAAAAUUUUACCUAUCUCAUAUCUUCAGUGAAAUGAUUAUAUCACAUCUGGCUAAGCUUUACCAUUUGGUAUUUGCCCUCUUUCAAGUGAUUUGCAGUAUAAUACUUUGAUUUCCCAAAAUUUCAACAUACAAAGUUAUUUUCCAAAUAUGCUCAAGCAACAUCUGAUCAUCACUAACAAGACUAAAGGCUAAUAUGCCCAAGGAGCCAAGUCCCGUUUUCUUGGGACUUCAUAGCAGGUAAAAAUUGCCUUUUCAAUUUAUACACCUGAAGAAAGUGAAGCAGCAUCAGUCACUGAGGGCUUAGUAGAGAUGUCCUCAGAGAGGUGCACAUACUGCGCUGAAGUUGAUGCAUACUAAGCAGGCGUGCUUAAUCACUGAGAGGUUACAUCAGGCACAUUUUGUUGGAAUAAAUGUUCCAACCCCUGAGUAAACUCAAAUUGAAAAGUAGGAAAGUUGGCCAGCGCGGUGGCUCACACCUGUAAUCCCAGCACUUUGGGAGGCCAAGGUGGGCGGAUCACGUGAGGUCAGGAGUUCGAGACCAGCCUGGCCAACAUGGUGAAACCCCAUCUCUACUAAAAAUACAAAAAUUAGCCGGGUGUGGCAGCAUGCACCUGUAAUCCCAGCUACUUGGGAGGCUGUGGCGGAGAAUUGCUUGAACCCAGGAGGCAGAGGUUGCAGUGAGCUGAGAUUGCACCACUGCACUCCAACCUGGGUGACAGAGUAAGACUCUGUCUCAAAAAAAAAAAAAAAAAAAAAAGUGUAGGAAAGCAAUAGUACAAACGAGGAGGGGAGUGGGUGAGUUAAACACAUUUUCCCCAAACUGCCAGGUUUACUUUGCAGAAUUUGUAUUCUCUUUCACAGAUAACAUAACCCUCAUUCCCAGCACACCACAACCAAGCUAGCUAGCUGGCUCAGCUCACGGUGUCCUUCGGCCACAUCGGGACUCAGCAUGGUAUAUGUUCUGGUCAUCACCCAGAGAAUUCUAGCUAUUCAUUUUGACUCUUCAGUUUCGCUAAGAUGACUGCAUGCCAGCAAUUUUAACUUAUUUAUUAAUUUGAAAAUAAUGUGUGGCUGGGCCGGGCACAGUGGCUCACGCCUGUAAUCCCAGCACUUUGGGAGGCCGAGGCAGGCGGAUCACGAGGUCAGGAGAUCAAGACCAGCCUGACUAACAUGGUGAAACCCUGUCCCUACUAAAAAUACAAAAAAUUAGCUGGGCGUGGUGGCAUGCACCUGUAGUCCCAGCUACUAGGGAGGCUUAGGCAGGAGAAUUGCUUGAACCCAGGAGGCAGAGGUCGCAGUGAGCCAAGAUCACACCACUGCACUUCAGCCUGGGCAACAGAACGAGACUCCGUCUCAAAAAGAAAAAAAGAAAAGAAAAAAGAAAAAGAAAAUAUGUGUGGCUGGAAGACACUGAAAUCUGGAAAACAGCUAUUUAGGUAUAAAUUUACUUUGACUUACUGAGAUCAAGAAAGAACUGACAUCGUCCUCAUCUAAGAUACCUUGUUCUCCUUGGGUAUUUUCCAAGUUAGUUCAGGGGCAGUUGCCGAGGAAUAACACUGAUGGGGGUUCACACUAUGGCGAUCUUGUUGAACUGCCUGAUGUUGGUUUGUGUAAUCUGCCCCCUUUGUGCCCAAGAACCUGUGACAAGAUUCUGCUUCUGACAACCUUCUGUGCAGGGGUAGCGACAGGAGUCUGAACAAUCAUUAAGUGUCCAGCCCUGGUUUCCUGCCACUAGUCAAUCUGCAGAGACUUUUAUUGAUUCUUGAAAAUACAACUGUGAUUGUAGGUUUGGGCCCUGGGAAUGUAAUUUAUAGCUAAAGAAUGGGCAAUGUCUUCUGUCCUGAGUGCCAUGGUUGGAUUGUGUAACAUCUGUGGCUACCAGGACAAGGAAGGAACAAAGGAAGACAAAAGUAUUUCAGUGCAGAGAUCUUCUCAGUGACCCUCCUUGCUUUUCAUCUGCCUGAUGAAUUUUAAAGACUACUUUUUAUCAUAUCUCCACACCGUAAACUACCCCCUCAGUGGCUCCCAGUUUCCUUUUACUACAUCUAGUCUACACUCCAUAGACCGACUGAGACUGCCAAUAUGCCUACCCAGUCGGAUUUCCUACUCUUCCUCCCCCCAUACAUUUGCUGCUCUGGUCUCCUGAAAGGUUACAUUCCCUCACCUCUGAUUGUUUCCCUUAGAAACCCUCUCAUCUCCUUUCCUCUGGGUCUAUCUAAAUCUCACUCAGAAUCCUAGAUAUAUUACCACAAGCCCCUAUCCUCCUAUGUUUCCCAUUCCUUUGCUCCUGUGCAACCAGGGCUCAGGCUCUGGAGUCAGACAGAUUUAGGUUCAUAAUCCCAGUUCUGCCACUUAUUAACUAUUACUCCAUAAAUGUGGAAACAUUUCUCAACUCU